CAGCAGCCGCGGUAAUACGUAGGGUGCAAGCGUUAAUCGGAAUUACUGGGCGUAAAGCGUGCGCAGGCGGUUAUAUAAGACAGAUGUGAAAUCCCCGGGCUCAACCUGGGAACUGCAUUUGUGACUGUAUAGCUAGAGUACGGCAGAGGGGGAUGGAAUUCCGCGUGUAGCGGUGAAAUGCGUAGAGAUCUGGAGGAAUACCGAUGGCGAAGGCAAUCCCCUGGGCCUGUACUGACGCUCAUGCACGAAAGCGUGGGGAGCAAACAGGAUUAGAUACCCCUGUAGUCCCUGUCUCUUAUAC
Molecule: ribosomal RNA, 301 nt
Filed under: uncultured bacterium
Lineage: Bacteria
Description: partial 16S ribosomal RNA
Rfam family: Bacterial small subunit ribosomal RNA
Source: RNAcentral